UAGGGAAUAUUGCGCAAUGGUCGAAGGACUGACGCAGCGACGCCGCGUGUGGGAGGAAGCCUUUCGGGGUGUAAACCACUGUCAGAUGGGAAGAACAAUGCGCAUCCAAACAGGAUGCGCGCCUGACGGUACCAUCAGAGGAAGCGCCGGCUAACUCCGUGCCAGCAGCCGCGGUAAGACGGAGGGCGCGAGCGUUGUUCGGAAUUACUGGGCGUAAAGCGCGGGCAGGUGGUCCGUUAAGUCUUUUGUGAAACUCCGGGGCUCAACUCCGGACAUGCGUAAGAUACUGACGGACUAGAGACCGGUAGAGGCUAGUGGAAUUCCUGGUGUAGCGGUGGAAUGUGUAGAUAUCAGGAAGAACACCGGUGGCGAAGGCGGCUAGCUGGGCCGUGUCUGACACUCAUCCGCGAAAGCGUGGGGAGCAAACAGG
Molecule: ribosomal RNA, 430 nt
Filed under: uncultured Gemmatimonadota bacterium
Lineage: Bacteria; Pseudomonadati; Gemmatimonadota
Description: bacterial SSU rRNA
Rfam family: Bacterial small subunit ribosomal RNA
Source: RNAcentral